This 204-nucleotide ribosomal RNA is filed under the name uncultured bacterium. Its description in RNAcentral is "partial 16S ribosomal RNA". It matches the Rfam family "Bacterial small subunit ribosomal RNA", at positions 1289 to 1500 of the family's 1533-position model. The record is from RNAcentral.
CAGUUCGGAUUGGAGUCUGCAACUCGACUCCAUGAAGCUGGAUUCGCUAGUAAUCGCGCAUCAGCCAUGGCGCGGUGAAUACGUUCCCGGGCCUUGUACACACCGCCCGUCAAGCCAUGGGAGCCGGGGGUGCCUGAAGUUCGUGACCGCAAGGAGCGACCUAGGGCAAAACUGGUGACUGGGGCUAAGUCGUAACAAGGUAAC